GUGCUCCCUUUAGCCGCACAUAUGCUAAAAUUGGAAUGAUACAGAGAUUAACAUGGCCCCUGUGCAAGGAUGACACACAUUCAUGAAGCAUUCCAUAUUUUU
Jaculus jaculus (lesser Egyptian jerboa) is the source of this 102-nucleotide small nuclear RNA. Lineage: Eukaryota; Metazoa; Chordata; Mammalia; Rodentia; Dipodidae. The record is from Ensembl.